AUUGAACGCUGGCGGCAGGCCUAACACAUGCAAGUCGAACGGUAACAGGAAGCAGCUUGCUUCUUUGCUGACGAGUGGCGGACGGGUGAGUAAUGUCUGGGAAACUGCCUGAUGGAGGGGGAUAACUACUGGAAACGGUAGCUAAUACCGCAUAACGUCGCAAGACCAAAGAGGGGGACCUUCGGGCCUCUUGCCAUCGGAUGUGCCCAGAUGGGAUUAGCUAGUAGGUGGGGUAACGGCUCACCUAGGCGACGAUCCCUAGCUGGUCUGAGAGGAUGACCAGCCACACUGGAACUGAGACACGGUCCAGACUCCUACGGGAGGCAGCAGUGGGGAAUAUUGCACAAUGGGCGCAAGCCUGAUGCAGCCAUGCCGCGUGUAUGAAGAAGGCCUUCGGGUUGUAAAGUACUUUCAGCGGGGAGGAAGGGAGUAAAGUUAAUACCUUUACUCAUUGACGUUACCCGCAGAAGAAGCACCGGCUAACUCCGUG
RNAcentral lists this ribosomal RNA (490 nucleotides) under uncultured bacterium. RNAcentral describes it as "partial 16S ribosomal RNA". It matches the Rfam family "Bacterial small subunit ribosomal RNA", at positions 30 to 507 of the family's 1533-position model. The record is from RNAcentral.